ACGGGUGAGUAACACGUAUCCAACCUGCCGUCUACUCUUGGACAGCCUUCUGAAAGGAAGAUUAAUACAAGAUGGCAUCAUGAGUUCACAUGUUCACAUGAUUAAAGGUAUUCCGGUAGACGAUGGGGAUGCGUUCCAUUAGAUAGUAGGCGGGGUAACGACCCACCUAGUCUUCGAUGGAUAGGGGUUCUGAGAGGAAGGUCCCCCACAUUGGAACUGAGACACGGUCCAA
This 232-nucleotide ribosomal RNA is filed under the name uncultured bacterium. RNAcentral describes it as "partial 16S ribosomal RNA". It matches the Rfam family "Bacterial small subunit ribosomal RNA", at positions 102 to 334 of the family's 1533-position model. The record is from RNAcentral.